AAGUCGUAACAAGGUUUCCGUAGGUGAACCUGCGGAAGGAUCAUUAAUGAAAACUUCAGGAGUUGCUGCUGGCCUCUCGAGGCAUUCGUGCACGCUCCGUUUUUCAUCCACCCACACCUGUGCACAAUUCAAUUUGAGAGGGAAAGAAAAGGCGGAGGGAUUUCUUCGGAGUUCUCUUCAAUCUCUUUUUCCUUCCAAAUUAUUUAACACACUCUACGAAAUUAUCAGAACGAACAUGUUUAUUUGUAAACAAACUUAACAACUUUCAACAACGGAUCUCUUGGCUCUC
RNAcentral lists this unclassified non-coding RNA (289 nucleotides) under air metagenome. RNAcentral describes it as "partial contains small subunit ribosomal RNA, internal transcribed spacer 1, and 5.8S ribosomal RNA". The stretch from base 1 to 46 matches the Rfam family "Eukaryotic small subunit ribosomal RNA", at positions 1786 to 1831 of the family's 1831-position model. The record is from RNAcentral.